GAUGAACGCUGGCGGCGUGCCUAAUACAUGCAAGUCGAGCGAACAGACGAGGAGCUUGCUCCUCUGACGUUAGCGGCGGACGGGUGAGUAACACGUGGAUAACCUACCUAUAAGACUGGGAUAACUUCGGGAAACCGGAGCUAAUACCGGAUAAUAUAUUGAACCGCAUGGUUCAAUAGUGAAAGACGGUUUUGCUGUCACUUAUAGAUGGAUCCGCGCCGCAUUAGCUAGUUGGUAAGGUAACGGCUUACCAAGGCAACGAUGCGUGGCCGACCUGAGAGGGUGGUCGGCCGCACUGGAACUGAAACACGGUCCAGACGACUACGGGAGGCAGCAGUAGGGAAUCGUCCGCAAUGGGCGAGAGCCUGACGGAGCAACGCCGCGUGAGUGAUGAAGGUCUUCGGAGCGUGAAACUCUGUUAUGGGGGAAGAACAGAUGUGUAAGUAACUAUGCCCGUCUUGACGGUACCUAGUCAGGAAGCCACGGCUAACUACGUG
This 497-nucleotide ribosomal RNA is filed under the name uncultured bacterium. Its description in RNAcentral is "partial 16S ribosomal RNA". It matches the Rfam family "Bacterial small subunit ribosomal RNA", at positions 28 to 507 of the family's 1533-position model. The record is from RNAcentral.